CACACCGACCCGUCACACCAUGGGAGUUGGCUUUACCUGAAGACGGUGCGCUAACCCGCAAGGGAGGCAGCCGGCCACGGUAGGGUCAGCGACUGGGGUGAAGUCGUAACAAGGUAGCCGUAGGGGAACCUGCGGCUGGAUCACCUCCUUUCUAAGGAUGAUCCUUCAGCGAGCUCACGCUCACUAUCGGAUCGUUUUAGAAACAUCAGUGGCCAACAGAUCGCCAGAUCGUUGAGCUGCAUUGGCGGGAUUUCGCCGUCUUCGUUUCUCUUUCUUCGCGGACGAACACGCGCCGGGGCUGCGCUGUGCGAUUGCAUCUGCGCUGGUCGCCGAUGCAUGCACGCAAGACCCUAGUCCUGAAAAGGAUAGCGUUAGGGCUUGGAACUCAAUUGGUUAGAACGCGCGCUUGAUAAACGUGAAGUCCGAAGUUCAAGUCUUCCCAAGGCCACCACUUUCAUCCAGUGAACAUUCCUCUUCUGGUUACGGGGCCAUAACUCAACUGGGAAAACGCGUGCUUUGCAAGCAUGAAGUCCUCCGUUCCAUCCCGUCUGGCUCCACCAAAUGGUUUGAUCACCGAAAUCAUGUACCGUCCUCCGCCAAACAUCACUUCGCAUUCACUAAUCUGGAUAGACCGUGAACUGCGUGGUUUCUGACAUCCUAAAGAAGAAAACCAUCCCAAUUGGGUCCUGCAACAUAUCGUUGCGCCAGCCUUCAUUAUCUCCGGAUCAUUUUCGGCGCUCGCUUUCAGCCGUGAGGUUGAAUGCGAGUUGUAAAAUGAUCCUUUUAGCGAAGCUUGACCGCCCUCGCUAUCGGAAACGAUCUUACGAAGCAAGCUGGGUCUUUCUAGUCAAUGUCCGGGCUGUACGUAGCAUUCAUCGAAGGGUGCGCGCCCCCAAGGCAAUCGUACGGACAACAUUUCU
Molecule: unclassified non-coding RNA, 920 nt
Filed under: Bradyrhizobium sp.
Lineage: Bacteria; Pseudomonadati; Pseudomonadota; Alphaproteobacteria; Hyphomicrobiales; Nitrobacteraceae
Description: partial may contain 16S ribosomal RNA, 16S-23S ribosomal RNA intergenic spacer, and 23S ribosomal RNA
Rfam family: Bacterial small subunit ribosomal RNA (bases 1-151)
Source: RNAcentral